RNAcentral lists this ribosomal RNA (569 nucleotides) under Pantoea sp. YK3(2011). RNAcentral's name for it is "bacterial SSU rRNA". It matches the Rfam family "Bacterial small subunit ribosomal RNA", at positions 842 to 1411 of the family's 1533-position model. The record is from RNAcentral. Lineage: Bacteria; Pseudomonadati; Pseudomonadota; Gammaproteobacteria; Enterobacterales; Erwiniaceae.
GCUUCCGGAGCUAACGCGUUAAGUCGACCGCCUGGGGAGUACGGCCGCAAGGUUAAAACUCAAAUGAAUUGACGGGGGCCCGCACAAGCGGUGGAGCAUGUGGUUUAAUUCGAUGCAACGCGAAGAACCUUACCUACUCUUGACAUCCAGAGAACUUAGCAGAGAUGCUUUGGUGCCUUCGGGAACUCUGAGACAGGUGCUGCAUGGCUGUCGUCAGCUCGUGUUGUGAAAUGUUGGGUUAAGUCCCGCAACGAGCGCAACCCUUAUCCUUUGUUGCCAGCGAUUCGGUCGGGAACUCAAAGGAGACUGCCGGUGAUAAACCGGAGGAAGGUGGGGAUGACGUCAAGUCAUCAUGGCCCUUACGAGUAGGGCUACACACGUGCUACAAUGGCGCAUACAAAGAGAAGCGACCUCGCGAGAGCAAGCGGACCUCACAAAGUGCGUCGUAGUCCGGAUCGGAGUCUGCAACUCGACUCCGUGAAGUCGGAAUCGCUAGUAAUCGUGGAUCAGAAUGCCACGGUGAAUACGUUCCCGGGCCUUGUACACACCGCCCGUCACACCAUGGGAGU